RNAcentral lists this ribosomal RNA (462 nucleotides) under uncultured Bacteroidales bacterium. RNAcentral's name for it is "bacterial SSU rRNA". It matches the Rfam family "Bacterial small subunit ribosomal RNA", at positions 338 to 795 of the family's 1533-position model. Lineage: Bacteria; Pseudomonadati; Bacteroidota; Bacteroidia; Bacteroidales. The record is from RNAcentral.
CCUACGGGAGGCUGCAGUGAGGAAUAUUGGUCAAUGAGCGGAAGCUUGAACCAGCCACGUCGCGUGCAGGAUGACUGUCCUAUGGAUUGUAAACUGCUUUUUCACAGGAAUAAUAAUGCUCACGAGUUGGGUAUAUGCAAGUACUGUGCGAAUAAGGAUCGGCUAACUCCGUGCCAGCAGCCGCGGUAAUACGGAGGAUCCGAGCGUUAUCCGGAUUUAUUGGGUUUAAAGGGUACGUAGGCGGACUUAUAAGUCAGCGGUGAAAUUCUACAGCUUAACUGUAGGCGUGCCGUUGAAACUGUUAGUCUUGAGUGUAGAUAAGGUAGGCGGAAUGUGUUGUGUAGCGGUGAAAUGCAUAGAUAUGACACAGAACCCCGAUUGCGAAGGCAGCUUACCGGGUUACCACUGACGCUGAGAGUACGAAAGCGUGGGGAUCAAACAGGAUUAGAUACCCUUGUAGUC